CGUAGGGUACGAGCGUUAAUCGGAAUUUACUGGGCGUAAAGCGCGCGCAGGCGGUUUGUUAAGAUAGGCGUGAAAUCCCCGGGCUCAACCUGGGAACUGCGCUUAUGACUGGCAAGCUAGAGUACGGCAGAGGGGGGUGGAAUUCCACGUGUAGCAGUGAAAUGCGUAGAGAUGUGGAGGAACACCAAUGGCGAAGGCAGCCCCCUGGGUCGAUACUGACGCUCAUGCACGAAAGCGUGGGUAGCAAACAGGAUUAGAUACCCUGGUAGUCCACGCCCUAAACGAUGUCAACUAGGUGUUGGGAGGGUAAAACCUUUUAGUACCGGAGCUAACGCGUGAAGUUGACCGCCUGGGGAGUACGGCCGCAAGGUUGA
This 374-nucleotide ribosomal RNA is filed under the name uncultured organism. RNAcentral describes it as "bacterial SSU rRNA". It matches the Rfam family "Bacterial small subunit ribosomal RNA", at positions 526 to 897 of the family's 1533-position model. The record is from RNAcentral.